RNAcentral lists this ribosomal RNA (887 nucleotides) under Glaesserella parasuis. RNAcentral's name for it is "partial 23S ribosomal RNA". It matches the Rfam family "Bacterial large subunit ribosomal RNA", at positions 1280 to 2153 of the family's 2925-position model. The record is from RNAcentral. Lineage: Bacteria; Pseudomonadati; Pseudomonadota; Gammaproteobacteria; Pasteurellales; Pasteurellaceae. RNAcentral also lists the same sequence under 1 other name.
UAUCACAAGUGCGAAUGCUGACAUAAGUAACGAUAAAACGAGUGAAAAACUCGUUCGCCGGAAGACCAAGGGUUCCUGUCCAACGUUAAUCGGGGCAGGGUGAGUCGGCCCCUAAGGCGAGGCUGAAAAGCGUAGUCGAUGGGAAACGGGUUAAUAUUCCCGUACUUGGUAAAGCUGCGAUGUGGGGACGGAGAAGGUUAGGUUAGCAGACUGUUGGAUGUCUGUUUAAGUUGGUAGGUGGGAAGUUUAGGCAAAUCCGGACUUCCAUAACACUGAGAGAUGAUGACGAGUUUCUACGGAAAUGAAGUAACUGAUACCACGCUUCCAGGAAAAGCCACUAAGCGAAAGGCUUUACUAAACCGUACUGAAAACCGACACAGGUGGUCAGGUAGAGAAUACUCAGGCGCUUGAGAGAACUCGGGUGAAGGAACUAGGCAAAAUAGCACCGUAACUUCGGGAGAAGGUGCGCUGGCGUAGGUUGUAAGAGUAUACCUCCGAAGGCUGAACCAGUCGAAGAUACCAGCUGGCUGCAACUGUUUAUUAAAAACACAGCACUCUGCAAACACGAAAGUGGACGUAUAGGGUGUGAUGCCUGCCCGGUGCUGGAAGGUUAAUUGAUGGUGUUAUCGAAAGAGAAGCUCCUGAUCGAAGCCCCAGUAAACGGCGGCCGUAACUAUAACGGUCCUAAGGUAGCGAAAUUCCUUGUCGGGUAAGUUCCGACCUGCACGAAUGGCAUAAUGAUGGCCAGGCUGUCUCCACCCGAGACUCAGUGAAAUUGAAAUCGCCGUGAAGAUGCGGUGUACCCGCGGCUAGACGGAAAGACCCCGUGAACCUUUACUAUAGCUUGACACUGAACAUUGAAUUUUGAUGUGUAGGAUAGGUGGGAG